CGUUCAGUAUAGCACAUACCACAUGUGCCAAAUCCGGAAUAUAUAUCAAAGUCCGCAAAUAGUUGAUAUUUUCGGGGAUAAAAAACAUUUCGGAAAGCCGUGAAUCUACUAAACAAUUUCGAAAUGUUCGCAAACAAGGAAACUCGAGUUGUUACACUCAACCAAAUGACAAACUACCCCUUUUCGCAUCGAAGUAUUGCUUGAACUGCAUAUACCGACCGUUCAUUUGUGCUUGAUGUUGUCUACAAAACAUUUACUUUUCUUUUAUUUAUUCCAAGUGUUAUCAGGGAUUGUUUGCAUUCACAAUUUUCCUCUGCAAGAUAGUGAUGAGUAGUAGAUGAGUUAUUUUUCUCAAAAUAUUAAUACAUUGUAAAAACA
Molecule: long non-coding RNA, 378 nt
Organism: Hermetia illucens (black soldier fly)
Lineage: Eukaryota; Metazoa; Arthropoda; Insecta; Diptera; Stratiomyidae
Exons: 2
Source: RefSeq, a predicted model, not a curated record